RNAcentral lists this ribosomal RNA (433 nucleotides) under uncultured bacterium. RNAcentral's name for it is "partial 16S ribosomal RNA". It matches the Rfam family "Bacterial small subunit ribosomal RNA", at positions 29 to 507 of the family's 1533-position model. The record is from RNAcentral.
AACGAACGCUGGCGGCAUGCCUAACACAUGCAAGUCGAACGAGACCUUCGGGUCUAGUGGCGCACGGGUGCGUAACGCGUGGGAACCUGCCCUUAGGUUCGGAAUAAUUCCCCGAAAGGGGUGCUAAUACCGGAUAAUGUCUUCGGACCAAAGAUUUAUCGCCUUUGGAUGGGCCUGCGUUGGAUUAGCUAGUUGGUAGGGUAAAAGCCUACCAAGGCGACGAUCCAUAGCUGGUCUGAGAGGAUGAUCAGCCACACUGGGACUGAGACACGGCCCAGACUCCUACGGGAGGCAGCAGUGGGGAAUAUUAGACAAUGGGCGAAAGCCUGAUCCAGCAAUGCCGCGUGAGUGAUGAAGGCCUUAGGGUUGUAAAGCUCUUUUACCCGGGAUGAUAAUGACAGUACCGGGAGAAUAAGCUCCGGCUAACUCCGUG